GAUGAACGCUAGCUACAGGCUUAACACAUGCAAGUCGAGGGGUAACGAGAGGAAAGCUUGCUUUCCUUGUCGACGACCGGCGCACGGGUGAGUAACGCGUAUCCAACCUGCCCCCAACUAGGGAAUAACCUUGCGAAAGUAAGACUAAUACCCUAUAAUUUCCUCAGAUGACAUCUGACGAGGAAUAAAGAUUUAUCGGUUGUGGAUGGGGAUGCGUCUGAUUAGCUUGUUGGCGGGGUAACGGCCCACCAAGGCAACGAUCAGUAGGGGUUCUGAGAGGAAGGGCCCCCACAUUGGGACUGAGACACGGUCCAAACUCCUACGGGAGGCAGCAGUGAGGAAGAUUGGUCAAUGGGCGGAAGCCUGAACCAGCCAAGUAGCGUGCAGGAUGACGGCCCUAUGGGUUGUAAACUGCUUUUAUACAGGAAUAAAGUUAGCCACGUGUGGUUAUUUGUAGGUACUGUAUGAAUAAGGACCGGCUAAUUCCGUGCCAGCCGCCGCGGUAA
This 506-nucleotide ribosomal RNA is filed under the name uncultured bacterium. Its description in RNAcentral is "partial 16S ribosomal RNA". It matches the Rfam family "Bacterial small subunit ribosomal RNA", at positions 28 to 523 of the family's 1533-position model. The record is from RNAcentral.